CAUCUAUGGUCUGUUAUAAUUUGCUUUUUAUGCAAAUAGUAAGCAAAAAUUAAAGCAAAACUGUACAAGUUACAUAUAUAGUACUAUAUCAGUACUAUACACGAACUUUUAUCGCUGGAUAAUGUUGCGAUUUUUCAUUCAAUUCAAUCAUAUAUAUGCUCAAAAUCUUCGCGUAAGUUUCUCUUUACCAUAAAAUUUGACCGAAUAAGUUUCAAAACAAUGCGACGGCAAAAAAUGAAAGAAUCCUGAUUUUCGUAAUAGAAUCUAUAGUCUUUUUGCCCUGUUGUACCGCCAUCUUGGAUUUAUCAUGUAGGCCCCGCCUGCGCUAGGUAUGCGCAUGGAUAAUAAAAUAAAUGGAUAUGAAACUUCUGACGUCAUUGACUGCAUCCUUGUUGAAAAACGUGACGUCACGCGUAUUGCGAAUAUUACCAAAGUUCUCG
Paramuricea clavata is the source of this 440-nucleotide non-coding RNA. The record is from the annotation of a GenBank genome assembly. Lineage: Eukaryota; Metazoa; Cnidaria; Anthozoa; Malacalcyonacea; Plexauridae.